RNAcentral lists this long non-coding RNA (408 nucleotides) under Daphnia pulicaria. RNAcentral describes it as "uncharacterized LOC124328460, transcript variant X1". The record is from RNAcentral. Lineage: Eukaryota; Metazoa; Arthropoda; Branchiopoda; Diplostraca; Daphniidae.
CUUCACGGGCAGUUUUCAUGAUCUGGAACAUCAUUCGAAGUGCAGCAUUGUUCUUGGCAGACUUUCCUGAUCGGCCAAAACCUUGAACUGGUGAUUAAUUGAAUUGAAAACUUGGGUUACCAGAAAUCCCCAACUCUUCAAUAGUUACUCCGACAUGAAAAGCUCUUUUCUCCAGCAACACUUGAAUUACGAUAAAUGUUUGCAAUUGUGGCAGAUAGUAAGGAUGGAUGUUGAUCAAAAUUCGAAAUAAACACUGACUUACAACAGCUGUUUCUGUUUCGACGCGCCCUUUUUUUGGAUUCAGCAGUCAGCACACUCUAACGGCAAAAAGGUUUUUAAAAACCAAAUUCAACUGUAAUUUUGUGAUGUAGGGGAGAGCGGGGUUGGAUGGGACAGAGUGGUUAUAUG